AUGGGAUUUCAACAUUCAACAAGAAGAGGUAGAGGAUUGAUACCAUUAAAGCAGUGCAGAGUAUUUUUUUUUUUUUUUUGAUAUACUAAAUGAGGCUAAACCACCUCUUAAUCCAACAUAAGACAAAGACUCGACACCAACAAUAAUAAAGUCAAACAGCAAGACAACCAAACCAGCCAUAGCCAUGGCUUUAUUUAAAUCCUUAAACAAAACAGACAAAAACAACCCUUCUUCAACACAAACAUAUAACUAAUACUCCUUUUCUUCAUUCUCUUUCCAGUUCUUGCCACACUUCAAAACAGACCUUGGGGACCCACAGCAGCUCCCAUCCUUCUUCACAAACUUUUGGUACACAAUUGAACCUUCACAUCCAAGCUCUUCAUAACUCUUCUCUUCCACACUGUACCCCUCGACUUCGAUCGCGCAUGUUGCCUCCAAACGCUUUGAUGCCACGUCAGCACCAACGGCAAUAGAAAACUCACCCGGUUCAAAACAAGCCAGCACCCGUUGCACCAGCUGUUCCAGGCUUACCUCGUUAAAAUCAUAACCGACUGCCUCAAAACUAGCGUAACUGAACCCGUCUUCGGGUGUAACGUGGAUGGUCGAGAUCGCACCGUCUUCAAUAGAGUUCAUGGAAUACCCACACGGGUCAAACUCGAAAUCACAGAUUUCGGACUUCGGUAGGAUAGAUCGAAUGCCGGAUUCGUUAGUCAUGGUUGUAGCCGAGCUCGAUUCGGUUUUGUAGAAAACGGAUGCUUUCUCUCUGUCUAAACUAGUCAUGCACAUCUCGAGUGUGUACACUUGAUCACGAACUGAUACAGGUCCAGCGGAAGCAGAAUAAACGAACCAUUUUUGUGGUUUAUCGAACCCACCCAUCACGUAUGCUUUGCUGGAUAAACCAAGCUUUUCAAAAUGAGCAUCGAGCACAGAAACUUCUUCGGUGAAGCUGCGGUGUGGGUAGGAUUGAGCAUUGGGAAAGAUAAAACUGCCACGAGUGUAUCUCACUGACCGGACAGUGAGAGAAAUUGAUUCCGCA
This 1036-nucleotide long non-coding RNA is filed under the name Helianthus annuus (common sunflower). Its description in RNAcentral is "hypothetical non coding rna". Lineage: Eukaryota; Viridiplantae; Streptophyta; Magnoliopsida; Asterales; Asteraceae. The record is from RNAcentral.